RNAcentral lists this transfer RNA (56 nucleotides) under Triticum aestivum (bread wheat). It matches the Rfam family "tRNA", at positions 10 to 63 of the family's 71-position model. From Rfam's summary of the family: Transfer RNA (tRNA) molecules are approximately 80 nucleotides in length. Their secondary structure includes four short double-helical elements and three loops (D, anti-codon, and T loops). Further hydrogen bonds mediate the characteristic L-shaped molecular structure. tRNAs have two regions of fundamental functional importance: the anti-codon, which is responsible for specific mRNA codon recognition, and the 3' end, to which the tRNAs corresponding amino acid is attached (by aminoacyl-tRNA synthetases). tRNAs cope with the degeneracy of the genetic code in two manners: having more than one tRNA (with a specific anti-codon) for a particular amino acid; and 'wobble' base-pairing, i.e. permitting non-standard base-pairing at the 3rd anti-codon position. Lineage: Eukaryota; Viridiplantae; Streptophyta; Magnoliopsida; Poales; Poaceae. The record is from Rfam by way of RNAcentral. RNAcentral also lists the same sequence under 1 other name.
GCUCAGUUGGUAGAGCACAAGGCUCUUAACCUUGUGGACGUGGGUCCGAGCCCCAU